Long non-coding RNA from Xiphophorus couchianus (Monterrey platyfish), 407 nucleotides. RefSeq lists it as uncharacterized. The record is from RefSeq and is a predicted model, not a curated record. Lineage: Eukaryota; Metazoa; Chordata; Actinopteri; Cyprinodontiformes; Poeciliidae. The transcript has 3 exons.
AUAGUUCAUUAAACAAGGAAUUUUAUGAAUUUAUGUAAUCAUGUUUAAUGUUGAUAUGAAGGAAACUUUCCAUGAUGAUUCUCACCUGAUCCUCCCUCCUUCAUUCCUGAACAGAAAGUUUUUUAAGCUUUGGCCUCUUUUAGCCUGGAGGCUUUAAGUUUUAUAACUGGUUUGUCUCAAACGUUUCCAACAAAAAGUUAAAAACCUGCUGAGUUACAAACAGGUUUUAACUUGCCGUUUGCUGGAAGAUGUUUCUGAGUUUCUGUCUCUGCUGUUCAGGAUUGUUUCCUCGUUCCUCAGUUUGGGUUCAUUUGUCACACAGAUGAACCAGGAGUUGAUGGUCGGCACAGAGACAUAUAGCUGGAAAAUAAAACCUAAACUAGUCAGUUCUCUACUGUUGGGUCCCA